GCAUAUCAAUAAGCGGAGGAAAAGAAACCAACAGGGAUUGCCUCAGUAACGGCGAGUGAAGCGGCAACAGCUCAAAUUUGAAAGCUGGCUCCUUCGGGGCCCGCGUUGUAAUUUGCAGAGGAUGCUUCGGGUGCGGUGCCGGUCUAAGUUCUUUGGAACAAGACGUCAUAGAGGGUGAGAAUCCCGUAUGUGACUGGUUGCCUGCGCCCGUGUGAAGCUCCUUCGACGAGUCGAGUUGUUUGGGAAUGCAGCUCUAAAUGGGUGGUGUACUUCAUCUAAAGCUAAAUAUUGGCCAGAGACCGAUAGCGCACAAGUAGAGUGAUCGAAAGAUGAAAAGCACUUUGGAAAGAGAGUUAAACAGUACGUGAAAUUGUUGAAAGGGAAGCGCUUGCAAUCAGACUUGCGCGGCGCCGAUCAGCCUGGGUUCUCCCUGGUGCACUCGGUGCCGCUCAGGCCAGCAUCAGUUUCGGCGGUUGGAUAAAGGCCUAGGGAACGUGGGUCGCCUCGGCGAUCGUUAUAGCCCUAGGUGCAAUGCAGCCUGCUGGGACUGAGGACCGCGCUUCGGCUAGGAUGCUGGCGUAAUGGUUGUAAGCGACCCGUCUUGAAACACGGACCAAGGAGUCUAACAUCUAUGCGAGUAUUUGGGUAUCAAACCCAUAUGCGUAAUGAAAGUGAACGGAGGUGAGAACCCUUAAGGGUGCAUCAUCGACCGAUCCUGAUGUCUUCGGAUGGAUUUGAGUAAGAGCAUAGCUGUUGGGACCCGAAAGAUGGUGAACUAUGCCUGAAUAGGGUGAAGCCAGAGGAAACUCUGGUGGAGGCUCGCAGCGGUUCUGACGUGCAAAUCGAUCGUCAAAUUUGGGUAUAGGGGCGAAAGACUAAUCGAACCAU
Molecule: ribosomal RNA, 888 nt
Filed under: Therrya strobi
Lineage: Eukaryota; Fungi; Ascomycota; Leotiomycetes; Rhytismatales; Rhytismataceae
Description: LSU rRNA
Rfam family: Eukaryotic large subunit ribosomal RNA
Source: RNAcentral